GGGCGGUUAGUUCAGAGGGAGAACGCUUCCCUGACACGGAAGAGGUCAGAGGUUCAAUUCCUCUACCGCCCACCA
Molecule: transfer RNA, 75 nt
Filed under: Synergistaceae bacterium
Lineage: Bacteria; Thermotogati; Synergistota; Synergistia; Synergistales; Synergistaceae
Description: tRNA-Val
Rfam family: tRNA
About the family: Transfer RNA (tRNA) molecules are approximately 80 nucleotides in length. Their secondary structure includes four short double-helical elements and three loops (D, anti-codon, and T loops). Further hydrogen bonds mediate the characteristic L-shaped molecular structure. tRNAs have two regions of fundamental functional importance: the anti-codon, which is responsible for specific mRNA codon recognition, and the 3' end, to which the tRNAs corresponding amino acid is attached (by aminoacyl-tRNA synthetases). tRNAs cope with the degeneracy of the genetic code in two manners: having more than one tRNA (with a specific anti-codon) for a particular amino acid; and 'wobble' base-pairing, i.e. permitting non-standard base-pairing at the 3rd anti-codon position.
Source: RNAcentral